AUGUGUUUUAAUCCUCAAUCUAUGUUGUACUUGGCUCUGUCCUUCUCCUCCACAGAUUCAAGACAAAAAGGUAUGAGGAGCAAUUACCGCACACAGGUGUCUGCACCCAGGCACUAUGCCAGUCAACGCUCAUCUUUCAAUGGAGUGCACGAUAAAUCAAGAUCCCCUGUUACCACUAAAACCUCCUGCGGGCUGCCUAGAUCCUCCGUGUGGGACAGAACCCCCCCAAAACAACACAACACAACAUCCUCGGCCGGGGGUCUGGUCGACGACAGGAACCCAGAGAAGUGUGUCACAAGUGUGACCUUGUAUCCAAAGAUACAGCGGAACGGCACAGAGGAGCACUUCAGGCACCAGGAGGUGCACGAGGAGGUGACCUACGCCGAGCCCCUGUCUCCUCCCAAUGAGCAGGAGGCCCUUGAGGAAUCUUUGGUUCAUCAACCAACUAUGGAGAGUCCCGUCAUGCACUCGAUGAUCAGCUGUAAGGUGGAGUCCGGAUUGAACACUUUUAAACCUGCUUUCAAUGCUGAGGAAAAACAUUGGCAAAUUCCCAUAAAAGAAAAAGCCAUAUAUCGUGUUGACACAGAAGAGAGAUCAGCACCUUUCUUGGACAAGAAUAGGGAAAAUUAUUCAAAGCCCACUCCUUUUGAUGCUUGGGUGGAGCCAGGGCAGGCAUUAGGGGAUACCUCAGACUCUGAGGCCGAAGCAGUGUACGAGCCAAGAGUGGGAUCCAACACAAGCGACCUAGCUUCCGAGGGAGAGCCUGAGGCAAGUAUCUUCGACCAGGUGGUCUUCAACCCAGAGGAGAAUGCCGCAGGCAUCCAUGCAGAUGGCUCGCUGCUCCGCAAGGUUCAAAGCGAGAGUGAAGAUAAGCUGUACCCUGACGGAGAAGAAAUGGACACCUGGGAUAGUGUCAUAGAGAGAAAGGCGGAGCUGAAGAAAGAACAGAGCUUGGAAAUGGACACCCGACAUGCAGAACCGGAAGAUAUGUCAGCAAGGGAGCCAGGGCAGCAAGAAGUGGCAAAAGUGAAUGUAGUUGCCUUUACGGAAGAAGAUGUUCAUUCAAGCUUGAUUGUUACACCCACUGGGACACAAUUCAGCGACACCAAUCAAGACCAGAUCCCACUUUUGGAGCAAGGGCAAGAAAAUGUAAACAAUGAGGAAGAGGAUGAAGAGGAUGAGGACUCUCAGAAUGUGUCUGUAUCAUGGAGGACGGAGGUUGAGAGUGACAGUUACGCACAGGACAAUACGUUGGCCGACACCCGACCCCUGAUCCAGUACAAGAGCGAUGAGGCUGACGGAAACAACCAGGCCUCACACUGUGAUGAUCUGGAAUCGAGCGAUGGGGAAGACAAGAUGGAGGCUGGAGGAACAGGAAGUGGAACCUGGAGUGACGGCAAGUCAAAGAGAUUUGGAACCAUGGACGAUCUGUGCGAAGAGACGGACGAGGACGCAGAGAAAGUGGGCUACGACAUGAGCUAUGCUCACGGUGACGACCAGGAUGUUGUUACAAAGGAGCAUGCCACAUUGAGAACAGAUUGUGAAGAGGAAAAGGAACAAGUUCAAAUGAUUAUGAAAGACGGCCGAGAGCAUUCAGAUGAGGAGACAGAAGACCUCACCCAGCGGGUGAUACCCAAGAAAUACUCGAAUGUGAAUAUGGAUUACAGUGAAGAUUUAGAGAAUGUGGACAGACUAGUGGAGCUAGAGUUGGAGGGCUUGUCCACCACCACAUAUACUGCACACUUUGCAAAGCAUCAGGCUAGCAAGAGUGAGAUAGCAACGUCCAUCCAGGAAGCCAAACCACAAGGGGUCGGCGAGACAAUCGGAGAGGAAAUGUUUAUCCGUGUAGAGCAUAGCAUGAAGGCGCACCAGGAACUUCUUUCAACCAGCGCCACAAACGAUAGGCCCAAUGAGCAGCUGUUCCUUGAUGACACCCAAUACAUUCAGGAUGAGGAUGAGGAAGCCAGGAAUACUCUGAUCACAGAAAACAACGAUAGUAAUGCGGCCAUUGUAACAGACGAUGAAUCUGUUGCAAUUGACUUCAAUGAGGGGUUUGAUGGCCAGGAGAUCAUCGAUGACUGUGUUAUGGAGCUAUCAAACGGCUCAGGAGAUGAGUCCCCCAAUGAUAGCCCAUACCGACCACCCAUUUCCACCGAGCAGGGAACUUCAGACCUUCAAGAUGCCUUGGUAGAGGCAACGGUCUAUCAUGAGCUACACAAGGCUGAAACUGUGGAGGAAUCUGAAGCUCCUCCAAAGCAUUCUGUGGAUGUUGAUACAGACCAAGAGGUUUGUUCAGUAGCUGCACAGAUAGUGAAAUGGGAAGGUAUAGGGAACCCUGCUGAGGCUACUGGUCAGUUUGCAGCAGGUGAAAGGUGUGAGAAUGUGGAAGCCACAACUGAAAGCAAUUUGGAUUUCCCUGAAGCCAUGCAAGACGAGAGGGAUAUUCUUCAGGUAAAGAGCUCAACAGAAUCUAUAAUGACAAAUUAUAAAAUCGAAAAAGACCUUCACAGUUUCUCCAGCUCAGAUGUAGAUGCAGAUUUCUUGGGUUCUUCUGUGUUGACGGGUGCCAACUAUCAACCAAAAUCUUCCUUUCAAGAAGCCACUGGGGAAGUUAGUCCGAACCACAGCCAAGGUGACAACCUAGUUUUGGGUAGUUUAGACGAACAGCAUGUAGCGAUGGGGAUCUCAAGGAUGGAGGGGGGCAUGGCUACAAGCCAGGUUACCAAGGGAGAGUUUGAGCAGAGGUCCUCAGAGAGGAAGCUGUAUGAAUGCAAGGAUGCCGCUGAGGAGGGCCUGACUCAUUCAGAGGACUCUGAAGAAGAGGGCCAUUCCUGGUCCUCUGGGGAGGAGUAG
This 2853-nucleotide long non-coding RNA is filed under the name Gadus morhua (Atlantic cod). RNAcentral describes it as "lncRNA (ENSGMOG00000030730.1)". The record is from RNAcentral. Lineage: Eukaryota; Metazoa; Chordata; Actinopteri; Gadiformes; Gadidae.